ACAAAAAAAGCAAAAAAAACA
Molecule: small RNA, 21 nt
Filed under: Arabidopsis thaliana (thale cress)
Lineage: Eukaryota; Viridiplantae; Streptophyta; Magnoliopsida; Brassicales; Brassicaceae
Description: ATSL230840
Source: RNAcentral